RNAcentral lists this ribosomal RNA (497 nucleotides) under uncultured bacterium. RNAcentral describes it as "partial 16S ribosomal RNA". It matches the Rfam family "Bacterial small subunit ribosomal RNA", at positions 28 to 507 of the family's 1533-position model. The record is from RNAcentral.
GACGAACGCUGGCGGCGUGCCUAAUACAUGCAAGUUGAGCGCUGAAGGUUGGUACUUGUACCAACUGGAUGAGCAGCGAACGGGUGAGUAACGCGUGGGGAAUCUGCCUUUGAGCGGGGGACAACAUUUGGAAACGAAUGCUAAUACCGCAUAAAAACUUUAAACACAAGUUUUAAGUUUGAAAGAUGCAAUUGCAUCACUCAAAGAUGAUCCCGCGUUGUAUUAGCUAGUUGGUGAGGUAAAGGCUCACCAAGGCGAUGAUACAUAGCCGACCUGAGAGGGUGAUCGGCCACAUUGGGAAUGAGACACGGCCCAAACUACUACGGGAGGCAGCAGUAGGGAAUCGUCGGCAAUGGACGAAAGUCUGACCGAGCAACGCCGCGUGAGGGAAGAAGGGUUUCGGAUCGUAAAAAUCUGUUGGUAGAGAAGAACGUUGGUGAGAGUGGAAAGCUCAUCAAGUGACGGUAACUACCCAGAAAGGGACGGCUAACUACGUG